This 1213-nucleotide ribosomal RNA is filed under the name Klebsiella pneumoniae. RNAcentral's name for it is "partial 23S ribosomal RNA". It matches the Rfam family "Bacterial large subunit ribosomal RNA", at positions 419 to 1637 of the family's 2925-position model. The record is from RNAcentral. Lineage: Bacteria; Pseudomonadati; Pseudomonadota; Gammaproteobacteria; Enterobacterales; Enterobacteriaceae.
GGGACACGUGGUAUCCUGUCUGAAUAUGGGGGGACCAUCCUCCAAGGCUAAAUACUCCUGACUGACCGAUAGUGAACCAGUACCGUGAGGGAAAGGCGAAAAGAACCCCGGCGAGGGGAGUGAAAAAGAACCUGAAACCGUGUACGUACAAGCAGUGGGAGCACCUUCGGGUGUGACUGCGUACCUUUUGUAUAAUGGGUCAGCGACUUAUAUUCUGUAGCAAGGUUAACCGUAUAGGGGAGCCGCAGGGAAACCGAGUCUUAACUGGGCGUUAAGUUGCAGGGUAUAGACCCGAAACCCGGUGAUCUAGCCAUGGGCAGGUUGAAGGUUGGGUAACACUAACUGGAGGACCGAACCGACUAAUGUUGAAAAAUUAGCGGAUGACUUGUGGCUGGGGGUGAAAGGCCAAUCAAACCGGGAGAUAGCUGGUUCUCCCCGAAAGCUAUUUAGGUAGCGCCUCGUGAACUCAUCUUCGGGGGUAGAGCACUGUUUCGGCUAGGGGGUCAUCCCGACUUACCAACCCGAUGCAAACUACGAAUACCGAAGAAUGUUAUCACGGGAGACACACGGCGGGUGCUAACGUCCGUCGUGAAGAGGGAAACAACCCAGACCGCCAGCUAAGGUCCCAAAGUCAUGGUUAAGUGGGAAACGAUGUGGGAAGGCACAGACAGCCAGGAUGUUGGCUUAGAAGCAGCCAUCAUUUAAAGAAAGCGUAAUAGCUCACUGGUCGAGUCGGCCUGCGCGGAAGAUGUAACGGGGCUAAACCAUGCACCGAAGCUGCGGCAGCGACACUAUGUGUUGUUGGGUAGGGGAGCGUUCUGUAAGCCUGCGAAGGUGUGCUGUGAGGCAUGCUGGAGGUAUCAGAAGUGCGAAUGCUGACAUAAGUAACGAUAAAGCGGGUGAAAAGCCCGCUCGCCGGAAGACCAAGGGUUCCUGUCCAACGUUAAUCGGGGCAGGGUGAGUCGACCCCUAAGGCGAGGCCGAAAGGCGUAGUCGAUGGGAAACAGGUUAAUAUUCCUGUACUUGGUGUUACUGCGAAGGGGGGACGGAGAAGGCUAUGUUAGCCGGGCGACGGUUGUCCCGGUUUAAGCAUGUAGGCUGGUUGUCCAGGCAAAUCCGGAUAAUCAAGGCUGAGGUGUGAUGACGAGGCACUACGGUGCUGAAGUAACAAAUGCCCUGCUUCCAGGAAAAGCCUCUAAGCAUCAGGUAACAU